RNAcentral lists this ribosomal RNA (344 nucleotides) under uncultured bacterium. RNAcentral describes it as "bacterial SSU rRNA". It matches the Rfam family "Bacterial small subunit ribosomal RNA", at positions 27 to 372 of the family's 1533-position model. The record is from RNAcentral.
GGACGAACGCUGGCGGCGUGCUUAAACACAUGCAAGUCGAGCGGUAAGGCCCUUCGGGGGUACACGAGCGGCGAACGGGUGAGUAACACGUGGGUGACCUGCCCUCCACUUCGGGAUAAGCCUGGGAAACUGGGUCUAAAUACCGGAUAGGACCAGUCGAUGCAUGUUGGUUGGUGGAAAGUUUUUUCGGUGGGGGAUGGGCCCGCGGUCUAUCAGCUUGUUGGUGGGUNAUGGCCUACCAAGGCGACGACGGANAGCCGGCCUGAGAGGGUGAUCGGCCACACUGGGACUGAGACACGGCCCAGACUCCGUACGGGAGGCAGCAGUGGGGAAUCUUGCGCAAU